Molecule: transfer RNA, 71 nt
Filed under: Pezophaps solitaria
Lineage: Eukaryota; Metazoa; Chordata; Aves; Columbiformes; Raphidae
Description: tRNA-Trp
Rfam family: tRNA
About the family: Transfer RNA (tRNA) molecules are approximately 80 nucleotides in length. Their secondary structure includes four short double-helical elements and three loops (D, anti-codon, and T loops). Further hydrogen bonds mediate the characteristic L-shaped molecular structure. tRNAs have two regions of fundamental functional importance: the anti-codon, which is responsible for specific mRNA codon recognition, and the 3' end, to which the tRNAs corresponding amino acid is attached (by aminoacyl-tRNA synthetases). tRNAs cope with the degeneracy of the genetic code in two manners: having more than one tRNA (with a specific anti-codon) for a particular amino acid; and 'wobble' base-pairing, i.e. permitting non-standard base-pairing at the 3rd anti-codon position.
Source: RNAcentral
AGAAACUUAGGAUAAACCUAAACCAAGGGCCUUCAAAGCCCUAAACAAGAGUUAAACUCUCUUAGUUUCUG